CUAGCAGCCAGAGAGGAAGGAGCUCUGCCUGACUGCAGACUGAUUAAAAAAUGGCAACCCUGACCUGACAGUGAGCCUCUUCAGUUAUUUGAGGACUGAUUUCAAGCAGCUGUGCAGGGCCCAAGACCCCGUGUCAACAUGCUCGCAGACCCCAUGUGGGCAAGCCAAGACCCCCAACUCCAGCAGGAAGAUUUACCUGGGAAACUCAAAAUGAAGGAGUCCUAGCUACA
Long non-coding RNA from Alligator sinensis (Chinese alligator), 230 nucleotides. RefSeq lists it as uncharacterized. The record is from RefSeq and is a predicted model, not a curated record. Lineage: Eukaryota; Metazoa; Chordata; Crocodylia; Alligatoridae. The transcript has 3 exons.